RNAcentral lists this long non-coding RNA (280 nucleotides) under Cyanistes caeruleus (blue tit). RNAcentral describes it as "lncRNA (ENSCCEG00000008655.1)". Lineage: Eukaryota; Metazoa; Chordata; Aves; Passeriformes; Paridae. The record is from RNAcentral.
CUCUCCAAGACAGGAACAUUGGAUGAUAGGAAAGAAUUCUUCAAUGGGUGAGUCUUCCCUUUCUGCAAUGAGGAAUAUUUGACACAGCUUCUUAGAAGUCUGAUGGCUUUACUGGACAAGUGACAAAUAACAGGGCCCACUGUGGAGGUCACUGAGGAAAUGAUGCUGAGAAUUCACUCCCUGUGAAACAAAGGCAAGGCUUGCCUGUCACCACAAAGUUGUUAAGAGUAUGAAAGAAUUCAGAAAACAUAACUGUGUUCGUCCUUAGAGAAGAUAAGAA